CACCCCCACCCUCCUUCCUCAGGGCACUUCCUAAGUGGGGGUCUCCCCCUCCAUCUCCCUGACAGCCCCCCCACCACCUCCUGAUCCUGCCUGUGGUCCCCUAUAUCUCCUGGCCACUGCGAUACAAAUCUAUUUAUUUUCAGGCGUGGAGAAAGGGGAGAAGAUGGGGAAGGGGGGGUGCCAGAGCUCGAGUGCCAUGGCCCUUGCUGCCUUCCUUCAUGGCACUUACGACUCGGCGGGACCCAUGGGCCACCGCUCAGGGCACCCCUACCACCUGCAUCUUCAUCCCCUGACCCAGGCCCCCCAGACCCCACGAGACGUUUGGAGAUUCGAAACUUUGUCUUCACCCUCUCCCCUACCCCUAGCCCUCUCCCAAUUUUUUAAAGCACUUUUUAGAUUUUUUUUUCUUUUCCUCCUUAAAAACAAAAUUUAUAUAUAGAUAUAUAUAUAUAUAAAAUAUACUUUUCCUCAGAGGAGCAGGUGACAGUGUGGGGUGAAAGAGCCAAGGGCAGAGGGAACCCAGGGUCUCAUGGUGGCAGGGAUGUGGGGAGCGAGAGUGUCCAGAAGUUCCAGUGUCACAAAAGCAAUAAAAACAAGAUUUUACAAAAUGAAAGGAAAAACAAAAACAAAACAAAACAAAAAAAUCACAAGACAACCAACCACAAAUAGAAGUCUUGGCACUUUGUAACAGAACGGGUACUACACUUUAUCUUAAUUCUUAAUUUAAGAACAUGUUUACAAGUUGCAACCAACUUCUAUGAAAAGUCAAAAAGACAAAAAAAAAAAAAAAAAAAAAAAAAAGCGAGCGAGAGAGAGAGAGCGAGCGAGCGAGAGAGAGAGAGAGCAAACAAAUUCCUAAAAGUCGAUUUAUUUUUGUACAAAAUAAUAAAAAAAGAAACCCACCACAGACGUAGAAUCCACUUCUGUUCCCCAAGGUGAGAAGGGGGUCAGGAAAGCAUGGGCCAGGGCGAGGCCUUCUGAGGUAUUUGUGCUUUACCAUGGGGGCUUGCCUUGCAGGCAGGACUGUGGGGUUUUUGUGUUUCUG
This 1045-nucleotide long non-coding RNA is filed under the name Sus scrofa (pig). RNAcentral's name for it is "lncRNA (ENSSSCG00005039000.1)". Lineage: Eukaryota; Metazoa; Chordata; Mammalia; Artiodactyla; Suidae. The record is from RNAcentral.